UACAGAGGGUGCGAGCGUUAAUCGGAAUUACUGGGCGUAAAGCGCACGUAGGCGGCUCUGUAAGUCGGAUGUGAAAUCCCUCGGCUUAACCGAGGACGUGCAUCCGAAACUGCGGAGCUCGAGUAUGGAAGAGGGUCGCAGAAUUCCCGGUGUAGAGGUGAAAUUCGUAGAUAUCGAGAGGAACACCAGAGGCGAAAGCGAAUCACUGGACAGAAUCUGACGCUGAGGCACGAAAGCUAGGGGAGCAAACAGG
RNAcentral lists this ribosomal RNA (253 nucleotides) under uncultured bacterium. RNAcentral describes it as "partial 16S ribosomal RNA". It matches the Rfam family "Bacterial small subunit ribosomal RNA", at positions 524 to 776 of the family's 1533-position model. The record is from RNAcentral.